This is a long non-coding RNA of Alosa sapidissima (American shad), 923 nucleotides long. RefSeq lists it as uncharacterized. The transcript has 6 exons. Lineage: Eukaryota; Metazoa; Chordata; Actinopteri; Clupeiformes; Clupeidae. The record is from RefSeq and is a predicted model, not a curated record.
UACUACAACGGUGUUAUAGCAAAACAUCACUAAAACAAUCGGCAGGUUGUGUACAUCCUGUGAACCUUUAAGGAUCCCCAGAAUAGGCUACAACAAUCCCAAAGGCAUGAGGUGGCUUGGGAAAGAGGGAUAAAAGCCAGAUCUCUCCAACUGAUUUCAAACCUGGCAGGUGUCUUGACAACUGCGUGGUCCCGAGUCGAAACAAGCGACACUUUCAACAGCUAGGUCCCAAAUUUAGGGACCGUUUCAGAAUGGCAAACUCAUGUCUCCAUCUCCAGACAGUAUCCACAGAUUUAAAAUGGAGCCAGCUUCAUCCAUUCCAGAGAUCCUUCGCAAGAUAAGGAAAGUUUCCUCAUGGAGCGGAGUUCCAGCAGGAUGGCCUGUAAAGUGUUCUUGCAGUUACACAUACAGCAGCUGGGCUUCUCUGUGCUGGCCACUGAAGUUUGAGGGAGUGCCAUGUCUGCACCAGUGAUUUAGUGCAGCAUGCUGCAUGCCUACUCAUCAUCAGCACAGACUUGUCACUCAUCAGCCAUCAGUGGUCACUGCAAGCAAAUGUGCUUGAGAAUUGAUGUAGACCAUAGGAAUGGAGCCUUUCUCUUACUUUCUCUGCACAACUUUAUACCAUAUACGGUUCAUACUGAAUAUAUUUAUUCUGUUUUUCUUAUAAUAUAUUACUGUUAAUACACUGCAUAUAUAUUAUUUUACUCUUAUAAUGUCACUGCUAUUACACUGCACAUAUCUGUUUUUGUUCAUAUACUACAUAAUUGUCCAUAUCUAUUCUUAUAAGGUUACUACUAAUAUACUGCACAUAUUUAUAGUUAAUUUAUAUUACUGUAAACCAUUCCAACUUCUUAAAUGUAUACUAUUGUCUACACUGCACAUAUAUAUCUUAUACUGUUUAUGCACCACCUGCCUAUACUGUG